RNAcentral lists this ribosomal RNA (476 nucleotides) under uncultured bacterium. Its description in RNAcentral is "bacterial SSU rRNA". It matches the Rfam family "Bacterial small subunit ribosomal RNA", at positions 27 to 518 of the family's 1533-position model. The record is from RNAcentral.
GGACGAACGCUGGCGGCGUGCCUAACACAUGCAAGUCGAGCGAGGAGAUCCUUCGGGAUGAUCCUAGCGGCGGACGGGUGAGUAACACGUGGGCAACCUGCCUCAUAGAGAGGAAUAGCCUUCCGAAAGGGAGAUUAAUACCUCAUAACAUUGCAGUUUCGCAUGAAACAGCAAUUAAAGGAGCAAUCCGCUAUGAGAUGGGCCCGCGGCGCAUUAGCUAGUUGGUGAGGUAACGGCUCACCAAGGCGACGAUGCGUAGCCGACCUGAGAGGGUGAUCGGCCACAUUGGGACUGAGACACGGCCCAGACUCCUACGGGAGGCAGCAGUGGGGAAUAUUGCACAAUGGGGGCAACCCUGACCCAGCGACGCCGCGUGAGGGAAGACAGCCUUCGGGUUGUAAACCUCUGUUGCAGGGGAAGAAGAAAGUGACGGUACCCUGCGAGGAAGCUCCGGCAAACUACGUGCCAGCCGCAGC